AUCAAUGUCAGCUGUUAGACGACACAUUAUUCCUCAUUUUUUACUUUCUUCCUUGAUUUACCUUUAUGAGACUGAUCCAAGGACCCAGUUGAUUCCUGGGCAUUUCUAUGCUUCGAAGACCCUGAAACCAGAGUCGUCUCGUGGCU
Long non-coding RNA from Hibiscus syriacus, 146 nucleotides. RefSeq lists it as uncharacterized. Lineage: Eukaryota; Viridiplantae; Streptophyta; Magnoliopsida; Malvales; Malvaceae. The transcript is spliced from 3 exons. The record is from RefSeq and is a predicted model, not a curated record.